CAGCAGAGUUAGCCUGCUCUGCUCUUCAGGAACAGCCAGACUGGGACAUCAAGGUGUCCAUCAGGCCAAAAGCAUCGGAAGAUGGUGCUCCACCUGAAUCAUUAGCCUCAUCAGUUACACAGGAGUCCAUUGAGUCCUCAUUGCAGGGCCUGACUACAGAUCAGAGAAACAAUGCAGCAGAAGCUUCAGUUCAGACGGUUCCUAGCUCUGAGGACACCAGCUUUACAGAGACAGAUUUCAAAAGUCUUGUCAACCGCUAUUGUCAGAAAACCAAACGUUCCCAUUCAUAUGUUGAAGUGAAGAAAGAUGGCCCGUCUCACGUUCCUCAUUUUUUCUACAAAUUAAUAAUUGACGACAAGGAAUAUCCUGUGGGUGAUGGGAAUAGCAUCAAGGAAGCCCAACAGAAAGCAGCAGAGUUAGCCUGCUCUGCUCUUCAGGAACAGCCAGACUGGGACAUCAAGGUGUCCAUCAGGCCAACAGCAUCGGAAGAUGGUGCUCCACCUGAAUCCUUAGCCUCAUCAGUUACACAGAACAACAGUGAAUCAUCUUCACAAAACACCAGAUUUGGCCUGGCGUCAAAAGGCAGAGGUUCCUCGAAGAGUUUUCAGUGACUUUUACCAAAGAGAAGCAAAUUAUUAACUCAUUGCUGUCUGAGAAACCAGAAGACCGACCUGAUGCAAGUGCCGUAAAGGAAAAGCUUGAAGCGUGGACUCAGAUAUUCAGCACACAAAAAGCAUCUCGCCAGGAAAAUCAAACUGUCUGAUAGUCACAAGAGAAAAGUUUCAAAAGUCACAGGAGCCUUUACAAAUCUGUCUUGUUGCAUCUGCUUAAUGAAAUAAUUUGAUGUACUGUGUAAUAUUAUGUUGGGUAACUGUUAAUGUGCAAAGUUAAUAUAUGGAAGAGGUCACAUCAUGAAUCCCAGCUAUUUUGGGGAAGUUUGUAUUGGAUUUGGAAAUGAAAUGUGAAAUCAUGAUUUUAAAAUCUAACUAUUCAAAUCAGUUUCCCGGUGUAGGUCGUCACUUUGUAACUGUUGUUAAUCUGCUGCUGUCCUGAGGAGGAGGAACUGUGAUGCUACGUGUACUUCUGAUGGAUUCAUGUUGAAUGUCAGAGAUGAAAAAAGCACACUCCAUGUGGCUCAAUUUUAGAAACUUUCCUAAAUGUUUUCAAUCAUUUUUAACCCAUGAAAUACAGUUUAACAUAUUUUUCUUCCAUUUUUUAUUUUGUUUAUUUUAAUCUGAUUGAUUGCAAUAUCAGUCAGCUACGUGUGAUUUGGAACAGCAGGAGAAAGGUCAUUAAUACUGUACUAGAGGGAAUAAAAUAAU
Pundamilia nyererei is the source of this 1322-nucleotide long non-coding RNA. RefSeq lists it as uncharacterized. The record is from RefSeq and is a predicted model, not a curated record. NCBI's taxonomy places the organism in Eukaryota, Metazoa, Chordata, Actinopteri, Cichliformes, Cichlidae. The transcript has 8 exons.